UGAUGAAGGAAAGUUUCAUCUUUAUUAUCUAAUAUAAUUAAGAAUAAAUUUAGCUUAAAUUCACAGAUCCAGAGUGCUAUUAAUUAAUACCAUGACUGGUAAUUUAAACCUAUCUUUCCUUCAGGCUACCCUGGCCCAGAGAUGCUUUUAAGGGAAAAAUAAUGUUAUUUGAUUUUGAGUUUCUUUUCCGGUUUUUCGUGGUCUGGAAUCUCCUCUAAGGAAAGAGAGGCAAUUUCAGAGAGAAGGAAUGCCAUAGAUUGUCCUGAUGCCAUCCUGAACGGCCAGGACUGCUCGGCAUGCCUCUCGUUACUGAGACAUCAUCCAUCACGAUAGAAAGAGUGUGCAGAUUCCAGACGGCAGAAAUCCGUCCACUCGCUGCACUCGAGUUGCUUCAGGCACUGACGUGGCUUCAACUGCAUUUGACCUGGUGCUUCGGAUUCAAGCCAGUAGGUGACUCAUUAUUUCAGAUGUUUGGUUUGUGUUCUUACAGUUGAAGCAGUCUGCAAGGAAAAUAGAAAACCCUGUUGUAAAAAUAAGAUCUGUCUCCAGGAAGGAGAAUCCCUGCGUGCUGACCAGGGUGGGGUGUCCACACGGGACUCAUCUGACGUGUUGUUUUACCUUAGAUCCUGCUUUGAAGUGGUCUUGGCAGCUGUCCAUCCGUGA
RNAcentral lists this long non-coding RNA (663 nucleotides) under Bos taurus (domestic cattle). RNAcentral's name for it is "long non-coding RNA NONBTAT001777". Lineage: Eukaryota; Metazoa; Chordata; Mammalia; Artiodactyla; Bovidae. The record is from RNAcentral.